AACGAACGCUGGCGGCAUGCCUAACACAUGCCAGUCGAACGAGACCUUCGGGUCUAGUGGCGCACGGGUGCGUAACGCGUGGGAACCUGCCCUUAGGUUCGGAAUAACUCCCCGAAAGGGGUGCUAAUACCGGAUAAUGUCUUCGGACCAAAGAUUUAUCGCCUUUGGAUGGGCCCGCGUUGGAUUAGCUAGUUGGUAGGGUAAAAGCCUACCAAGGCGACGAUCCAUAGCUGGUCUGAGAGGAUGAUCAGCCACACUGGGACUAAGACACGGCCCAGACUCCUACGGGAGGCAGCAGUGGGGAAUAUUGGGCAAUGGGCGAAAGCCUGAUCCAGCAAUGCCGCGUGAGUGAUGAAGGCCUUAGGGUUGUAAAGCUCUUUUACCCGGGAUGAUAAUGACAGUACCGGGAGAAUAAGCUCCGGCUAACUCCGUG
Molecule: ribosomal RNA, 433 nt
Filed under: uncultured bacterium
Lineage: Bacteria
Description: partial 16S ribosomal RNA
Rfam family: Bacterial small subunit ribosomal RNA
Source: RNAcentral